Molecule: long non-coding RNA, 1803 nt
Organism: Nothoprocta perdicaria
Lineage: Eukaryota; Metazoa; Chordata; Aves; Tinamiformes; Tinamidae
Exons: 3
Source: RefSeq, a predicted model, not a curated record
UCUCUUAAAGGAAAAAGAGAAAUCCCGUGCUGUGAUGGAAAACAACCAACAAGGCAGACAGCAAGAGAGCAGCAGAGCGACCUCCCCUCUUCUCUGAAGACGCUCCCUCAAGAGACAGAAAAAGAAUAAGGAUUUGGAGAGGUCCAAGAGCAGUACUCAGAAAGACAUUCCACUGCUUAAGGCAAGGAAGGUGGUAUCGCAGCUAAGGGUGGAAAAAGGACCUUCCUAAGAGCUGGGCUGGAGCAGCACAGGACCAUAUGACCCUGCGGCCGUGCCUGGCUAGGACGAGAUGGUCUCCGGAGAGAAAAGGGGGAGAGGAGCUGCUGGGAUCACUAGGGUGCCCUGCCUUGCAGGCCCCGCAGCACCCCUUGCUUAGGUGCUUUAUUUCCUUCCAGAGCACUGCUUGUCACAGUGGUAACUGUCUCUCUCUUGCAAAGGACUAGGAUUUGUGCACAUUUACYCAAACCCCAGCGUGGCCUAGAGUGUUUCUGGCCUAGAACAGGUUCUAAGCAGCACAACUGUGUUCAUUAGAACUGUCACAGAGAACACCACCUGUGGGCAGCUCAGCAGAUGGAAUCAGAGCGGGGAGUUAAACAGGGAAAAGGAUGUUAGAAGCCCUGGCUGCUCCUCAUGAAAGAGCAAUACAGUUGCGUGACUGUGACAGAGAACAGCAGGUAACAAGCAGUACAGAAGGGCAUGUUGGCAGACACAUUAUAAAAGGUAUCAUUUACAAUUAAAAUGAACUUUCUUGCAUCCUGAAACUUCAAGAAUUAACUAAUGAAACUGGUCUGUUUAGCUUUAAAGGUCAUUUUGCACCAUGCUUCUGUGAGAACAUGGAAGGUAAUUAAAAACCAAGCACAAAAGUGUGGGACUGUUUGGGUAGAGGAGUUAUGAUGUGUUUCAGCUGACAGCACGCUGCGCUCCAAAGGCAAACGCAGCUUUCAACUCCCAGGACUGCCUUUCAAAGCUUUGCUGUGAAGACCAUUAAAAAAUGCAAAUGACAAAGCCAUGAAGAAAAAUAGCAGGAAAAUCAGUUUAACUACAUUUAAGAAAUAAGGAAGCGAUAAGUAACUGCCAAUACAGCUCCACAGCCUCAUGGAUACAGUGGAUGUUUCCCUACUGGUAAUAUACAUUUUCUAAAUGACUACAAUCCACUAAGCAUCUGCUAACAGUAAAAACAUUCUCUAGGUUUCUAUUUGCAAACACUUGUUGCAAUACACCAUUUUUAAGCUUUCUUAAAUGUAGACAAUAGGCAGCCUGCAGUUGCUUCAUAACAAGUAUGUACAUGAGCAAGAGGCAACCCAGUUCCAUAAGAGAAAACAGUCCCUCACUGCUGCAGUCUGUUAAAAGGGCUCCCGUGCUGAGGCUUCCAGCAGCAACGAGCGGGACCAGAAAAGCAGUUUCCAGCUGAUUUCCCUUUAUCCCCAAUCUCUAAUUACAGCAUUUAGCAGCAACUGUUCUCUGAAUGAAUAGCACGUCCUAGACAGAGACUGAAUCUUGCAGCAACUGCAGUAACAAAUCAUGAAUGAUUUGUGUAUUUAAUAUGUGAAGUUGCACUCUGCUCUCUGAAUGCUUUAUGUACUAAUAUUAUUAUAGCUUCAGAUUUUGCUUGUUGUAUUUCUAGAUUCUCCUUUAUUUUUGUGUUGUGCUUGUAUAUCUGACAUCUCUUUAUCUAGUCCUACUGUUUUUGACAGCUUUUCCACAAAGUAAGAGGAAAAAGCUGACACGUUAAAAUGUAAAAGCAAAACCAGAAAGGAGAUGUGUGACAACUGAGCAGUUUUGAGGAAAUCACCUCUCUCUUCC